This 75-nucleotide transfer RNA is filed under the name Sporosarcina ureae. RNAcentral describes it as "tRNA-Asn". It matches the Rfam family "tRNA". Rfam says of the family: Transfer RNA (tRNA) molecules are approximately 80 nucleotides in length. Their secondary structure includes four short double-helical elements and three loops (D, anti-codon, and T loops). Lineage: Bacteria; Bacillati; Bacillota; Bacilli; Caryophanales; Caryophanaceae. The record is from RNAcentral. RNAcentral also lists the same sequence under 6 other names.
UCCGCAGUAGCUCAGUGGUAGAGCAAUCGGCUGUUAACCGAUCGGUCGUAAGUUCGAGUCUUACCUGCGGAGUCA